This 190-nucleotide ribosomal RNA is filed under the name uncultured bacterium. RNAcentral's name for it is "partial 16S ribosomal RNA". It matches the Rfam family "Bacterial small subunit ribosomal RNA", at positions 338 to 524 of the family's 1533-position model. The record is from RNAcentral.
CCUACGGGAGGCAGCAGUGGGGAAUAUUGGUCAAUGGGCGCAAGCCUGAACCAGCCAUGCCGCGUGAAGGAUGACGGCCCUAUGGGUUGUAAACUUCUUUUGUACGGGAAAAAACCACCGGUCGUGUAUCGGUGCUGAUGGUACCGUAAGAAUAAGCAUCGGCUAACUCCGUGCCAGCAGCCGCGGUAAU